GUGCCAGCAGCCGCGGUAACACGUACUGUGCGAACGUUAUUCGGAAUCACUGGGCUUAAAGGGUGCGUAGGCGGCCAGGCAAGUAGGAUGUGAAAUCUUCCGGCUCAACCGGAAAACUGCGUUCUAAACUGCCUGGCUUGAGUGAGAUAGGGGUGUGCGGAACUUCCAGUGGAGCGGUGAAAUGUGUUGAUAUUGGAAGGAACGCCGUUAGCGAAAGCGGCACACUGGGUCUCAACUGACGCUGAGGCACGAAAGCCAGGGUAGCGAACGGGAUUAGAAACCCUGGUAGUCC
This 292-nucleotide ribosomal RNA is filed under the name uncultured prokaryote. RNAcentral's name for it is "partial 16S ribosomal RNA". It matches the Rfam family "Bacterial small subunit ribosomal RNA", at positions 505 to 796 of the family's 1533-position model. The record is from RNAcentral.